GGAAGGAUCAUUACCGUGAUUCCGAGACGUGUCCGUCAAAAGACACACAACGAAUGGGCUGAUGCUGUCCAGUCGAUGGGGAAAGCGCCGUUUCUGCGCAAAGCCCUGAGACAGCAAAGGCCAGCACACCGCGUCUGUGUAUUUCUCAGUUGACCGUUUUGCUAAAAUCAGUUUGGCGCUCGGUGAGGCGUCCAUGGUUUGUUUAGCCAAGUAACUGGGCCGGCGGUGUUUGAAAUUGGGUUCUUUGCCUGCGCACGCUUCGGCGUUGCAUGGCAUGCUUUGGGUACCUACUGGUCGUUGGCUGGCUCUCGCGAGGUUGACCCUUUCGCGUUGCUUCGAGCUGCCAUCGAUUAAUACCGUCCUGCCAGGUCGCGUAUGCGGCAAGGCGGAAGGUUUAAAGAGCUGGCUUAGGUGGACCGCAUGACGGUCCCCGGCUACUCGUUCACUGCAAGGACUCUGACCUCUUUGCUUGGUGAAGUCGGUGCAUCGUUUUUCUUGUGCAUCGUAGAGUAGAUCACCCAGGCGCAUGCUUCUUAAAGCGCCAAGCUAGCCGCCCGAAACCACCUUUUAACUAAUUGAAAAACUUAAUUAAACUAUGCUCUUCACCGAGCGUAGCACAUAUAAUGACUAUUCUAAGCGGUGGAUCACUUGACUCGUGGUUCGAUGAAGAACGCAGCUAGCUGCGUGAAGUAAUGUGAAUUGCAGACACAUUGAACAUCGACCUUUCGAACGCACAUUGCGGAAGUGGGUUUUCCCGCUUCUACGCCUAAACGAGGGUGAAAAUAGCGACAGCAUUUUUCCUUUUUCCCAUGUUUAUCGCUGAUGGCCAGCUUCAGGCGCUUCAGCGAUAGAUAGGGUGCUUCAUUAAAGGAAGAAAUUGGGUCGACUGCGACUUUGUUUGUUGGACCACACGCUUCUUGUGGGCCGGCCAUUUGUCGUACCGACCUUGAGUGUCGAGAAAGCGUCGUUUGCUUCUUAAUAAACGAUGAUUUGUAUUAACGAUGUAUGACCUUACGUGCUCCAGCCUUUGUGGCUUGCUUAGCGUAAAUGGUUUGCUGUUAGCUUCUAAACAUGCAUACUUUCUACGUUCGAGCGCGCUUCUUUGCUGCAAAGGGCUUCACUGGUGCAUAUGCUUCACAAGGCACAUCACAUCAACUACCUUUCUUUACCUCGUUUUAGACGUGAAUACCCGCUGAAUUUAAGCAUAUUAUUAGGCGGAGGAAAAGAAACUAACAAGGAUUUCCCAAGUAAGGGCGACUGAAAGGGAAACAGCCCAGCGCUGAAUCCGGCAGCGUCUCGCUGUAUGGACCUGUAGCGUUUAGGCAAGCCUUUCCGGUAAGCUGUUGCAGUCCAAGUCCCCUUGAGCGGGGCCACAGCCCAUAGAGGGUGCAAGGCCCAUAGGAUUGCUCGGCUUGUCGGUUGGAGCUGCCUUGGAGUCGGGUUGCUUGAGAGUGCAGCCCAAAGCUGGUGGUAAACCCCAUCUAAGGCUAAAUAUUACCACGAGAUCGAUAGCGAACAAGUACCGUGAGGGAAAGUUGCAAAGAACUUUGAAGAGAGAGUUCAACAGGGCGUGAAACCGCUUAGAAGUAAACGGGUGGUGCUGACAUUGUGUUUGUCGGAUUCAGCCGACUCGACGGUGGAUUGCUUGCGUGCUGAUCAGCUAACGACAGUCGCGUGGGUAGCUUCACUCUGCCUAGAGUUGGUGCACUUUCGGCGAACUGCGUCACGACCGACGAGCGUUCCGGCAAAAGGCUGGCUAGUUGCCGACUGCGGGUUUCGGCUUGCAGUGCCCCACUGGUCACGUCAGUCAACCUGGUUUCGCUCGUCGGGUAUAAGCCGCGCCCGCCUCACGGCUCAAUUCAGCGUCGCUUAUGUGUCGGUCGAACUGUGGGAGUCUGCUUGCAGGCUUCUGCGAUGCCCGGCGCUUACGGCGGCGUUGUUUGAGUUGGCGGCAUAUGGUCGGUGGCGUCCGCGUCAGUUUCCCACCCGACCCGUCUUGAAACACGGACCAAGGAGUCUAACAUGUGCGCAAGUCAUGGGGUUGAGUAAACCCAAAGGCGUAAUGAAAGUAAAGGCUAGCUUGCCUGGCCGAAGUGUGAUCCUUGCCUUCACGGGCUUGGCGCAACACUGUCCAAUCGCAUCGGCUUGCCCGAGCGGUUGCGAAAGAGCGUACACGUUGGGACCCGAAAGAUGGUGAACUAUGCCUGAGCAGAAUGAAGCCAGAGGAAACUCUGGUGGAGGUUCGUAGCGGUUCUGACGUGCAAAUCGAUCGUCAGACUUGGGUAUAGGGGCGAAAGACUAAUCGAACCAUCUAGUAGCUGGUUCCGCU
RNAcentral lists this unclassified non-coding RNA (2329 nucleotides) under uncultured fungus. RNAcentral's name for it is "sequence contains 18S rRNA gene, ITS1, 5.8S rRNA gene, ITS2, 28S rRNA gene". The stretch from base 1166 to 2329 matches the Rfam family "Eukaryotic large subunit ribosomal RNA", at positions 1 to 961 of the family's 3401-position model. The record is from RNAcentral. Lineage: Eukaryota; Fungi.